This 200-nucleotide long non-coding RNA is filed under the name Lonchura striata (white-rumped munia). RNAcentral describes it as "domestica (Bengalese finch) lncRNA (ENSLSDG00000007883.1)". Lineage: Eukaryota; Metazoa; Chordata; Aves; Passeriformes; Estrildidae. The record is from RNAcentral.
GGGGCGGCGAGGCCGGGGCCGCCCGCUCCGCAGCCAGCGGCGGAGCCACGCUGAUCGGCGCAGCCUGGCCGCGGUGCUCCCGGCGGGGUGACCGCCCCUCGGCAGCGGGCGCCGCUGAGGCAGCAGCUCUCUGUAAACGCGUUAUGUGAAGUACGUACGGCUAGCUACGACACCAAAUCAAGGCUCCUGCAAUUACAGGU